AGAAACUUGUUAAGGAAGUCACACAAGAUACUCAGAUGAAUUAGGGCUUCAAAGGCAAACAAGCUUCAAACUCUUGGUGAAUUCUUGAUCAAAAUGAAAAAUAAAUAACAUAGGGAUCCAUAUAUGAUGUUUAUAACCAUUGUUAACCUUUCAUUGAUUGAUCCCUUGCAUUGAGGGUCUCAAACCCUAGAUGUGAGCUUGAUGAGGCGCAAGUGGAC
RNAcentral lists this long non-coding RNA (218 nucleotides) under Lathyrus oleraceus (garden pea). Its description in RNAcentral is "Pisum sativum (pea) long non-coding RNA (PSAT_LNC008162)". The record is from RNAcentral. Lineage: Eukaryota; Viridiplantae; Streptophyta; Magnoliopsida; Fabales; Fabaceae.